CAGCGUGGUACUCCUUUCGUUUCCCAUCGGUCAGUUGAUCAGUAUGACUCUACGCAACUGGUACGCGAAUCGCGAGCUGCUCCUAACAGGAGUUACCAGUGAUGUGGGACGAGCGCUCCUCGAGAAGAUCCUACGUUCCUUCCCUGACGUGAAGGUGUACGCUGUAAUCAGAUCGCGGGACGACGUCAACAAAGACGACAGGAUCAAGAAAAUAUUCUUCUCGCCACGAUACGAGAGACUAAGACAGGAGGAACCAAACGCGAUUUCUCGCGUGAAGGCGUUGGAGGGUAAUUUGCUGUUUGAUGAUCUUGGUUUGUCCGAGGAAGACAAGGAUUCGUUGCGGAAUGUCAGCGUGGUGUUUCACGCGGCUGGUCCUCACGACGCCGUGUUUGAGUUUUGUCAGGAGUUGCCUCAGCUAGAGACAGUGGCAGCAGUUUCGAGUAUCUUUCGUCACAAGGGUCAAAUCGCCGAGACGUUGCAGAACGAACGAGUGCCUGACAUACCGCUGGCUCUAGUUAGAGUGCCUUUGGUUGGACCACCAUAUCGAGAGCCUAUGCCAGGCUUUGUCGACGUCUUCAACGGAUCGACAGCUUUCGUAGUAGGCUCGGGACUCGCCCUGGGCAAGUCUGAGUUUCAAGCGGAAAUCAUUCCAAUCGACCUGACGGUCAACACCCUCAUCGCGGUUGCUUGGGAACGAGGCAUCGCGAAAAACGUGGAUAGACCUGUAGUAUAUAACGCUGCAACGAUCGGAUGCACAUGGGGCGAGCUGAUCAAGAAGGGUAGACGAGGCAACCGAAAGUUUACAUACCCGACUUUUGGAUUUCGUGGAAUGACGUCCGUAGCAGCUCUCCAUUGGGUUCUGGUGCUCCUUUUCGAAUGGUUGCCAUCCACGCUCUGCGACACGGUUCUCGGCCUGUUUGGAAUGAAGAAAAGGCUUCUACAAGAGCACGAGAGAGUUCGUAAUGCACUUCGAUCCCUCGAGUCAAUUUCAUCGAGGCCGUGGUCAGCAGAGAGGAACCGUGUGUACCAGCUUCAGCGACAUCUCACCUCAGAAGACCAAGAUGCAUUUCCGGUUACCGCGGAAAUCGACAUCGAGAAUUACGUUCUCUGCGCUGCAGCUGCCACCAGGAAGCAUUGCGUGGGCGAGGCCAAUGUCAGACUCCUAAGAGCCAUUCGACUGUUCUUCUUCUUCGUUGUUACUCUUGUUCUCUUCUACGUCGUCUUUUUCUACAGACAUCAGAUGCCCGUGAAACAACGUGGACUGUAAGCGAAUUCCAAGUUCGAAAGAAUCGUUAUUGUUAUACUAAACUCUGAAGGUCGCUUAAUCCUUGCGUUUAAAUAGGAAUAAUUAAAACACGUUAAUUUGACCUUAGUUGCGCCCCUAUCUUGCAAUAAGAAACGUGAGUUUAUGUCACCUAAACGAAGAAUUCGUAAAAUGUGAAUGAAAACCCAAUCCACCUAACGAAUUCUUCGACUAAAAGUGCAUUUCCAGCGAAACCAGUGUUUCCACAAAAUCGACAAGAAAAACUCUGCCAGCGGUCGCGAGUUGGCUUAGUAAAACGCAAAGUAAUUUCCUCUCGAGGAAGUUCAGCUUUUGUGAAAAGAAAACAUCAUUUAGAAACGGAAGUCCGAUUUCUUUUUCUUCCCCUACCUUAGUUGAAACCCUGCCCCCUAAAUAUAACCGUAUAAUAACGCUAGGAUCAAACGAGUUAAUUUGAAUGUUAUUCUUACGGACCACGGACAACGGUAUUGCUAAGGCUGCUGGCCGAAUAAUUGAACGAAAAGUUUGCAUAGGAGUGGAAGCGGGAACGUCGUUUCAUUGCUUCGCUUUCUGCCUUCUUUUUCCUCGAUCAAUUAUGCAUUUUAAAAAGAAGACUCGAACGCGUCGCUUUAAUUCGUUCCGGUUGACGUCCGCCCAGACACUCGGUAUAACAUUCCUGAACGUUUAUACCGAUUCCUCGUAAAUUUUGCUCUCCUUGGAUUCUCUUAUGUAGUUUUUGCUAAGUCUCCGGUACACCUUGAAUUAAAGCUCUAGAUCUACGACACUUUGUCCGACUUUAAAGACAAAUGAUUGUUCGCAAGAAACGUAAAAUUGGAAAGAACUUCCGGCUAUCUCUACGGGCAAGAUGCUUCCGUAAUUUUCAAAUACGGAGACAGGAGCAGUUUUAAUUUCAAGCGUUUAUCCUUGUCACAGGGAUAGCUCGCAGACACUCGUCCUGUCUCUAACGGUAAGAACCGUGCAAUAGGACGCGAUUGAUCGAUAUUAACGGAAUGGUAUAGAACAAAAUUAUUUUGCACCGCCCAGAAACUGCAGUCCGAUCGAUACAAAAAGGAACUAAAAAUAGCGUAGCGAAUUUAGGAAGAAAAUUAGGUGAAUCCGCAAAUACCAGAGAGCCGAUUCAACAAUCGAUGGCAAGAGGUCGUACGGAAACAUAUUUGACGAAUACGUUGGUAUUCAAAGUAUCGAAUGUAUAAAUAUGACUGCAGUCGAGCGGAGUGCAUGGCAAAUAUUCGUGAGAAUCGUGCAAGCCGCCUAUACACGAGAGAAUGCUAUUCUGGUGAAAGUUUGUAGCAGAACAUCCUCUUGCCUUCGCGCUGAGCCAAGAAACAUAUAUCUCUAGCGUGUUUCCCCUUACGUAACGCGUUACACCGCGCUGCGUUUAUCGAAUUCGUCGAUCCCGCUGUCUUCAAAAAUACCAAACGAACUUGUCUUGGUUGGUAAAUGAGUUUCGAAUCUCUCCACGGAUACAUCGAUGACUUUGCGACGCUUGGAAUGCUUACUUCGAGAACUUUACCAUUUGACGAGAUCCACUCCUUUGAUGCUACCGCUACGAAAGUCUUGCGUUGCAAUGUGAUACCAAAAAUAUUUGUUCUCGUUACUUAGUCGUUUAGAGAACAUUUCUUUAAAGAUAAAUAUAGAAUUAAUACACGAUAAGGCAAAAAGUAGGAAAAACAUUAAAAGUAAUUACCUAUCCAAUGGUUAGAAUGGUGCCACGUAAUCCGUUGUUGAACGGUCUAGUAUGAUCGGUACCGUAGAAUCGAGCAAGGUUACAUAUUAAUCAUAAAGGAUGGCAGUCCUUAAUAUUCCCAUCAACGUAACCAAGAAGCAAUAACCAAGAUCGUUUCGCGCGGCCCUUUUCCCAACAGAAACUUGGUUCGCGUGACUGCACAUAGCGGAAGGCGCGGCGAUUAGUUCCGCGAGAUAUAAUUGGACGCGGUGGCUGGAACUGUGCCCCUGUAAUAAUAAUUGCGGGACGUCUGUUCUACGAAACGAACUUCCAGGAGCUGGCUGGCUGCGUAACAGAGGAACAGGAACAGCGUGAGACGUGAGAAAGGGAGACCAAAAUAUGAAGAGGAAUAAGGGAAAUAUGGGGCGAAGAAGGGCGAGGAAGACGGACGGAUCAAAAGGCACGAAAAGCUUGAAAAAUGAUGGAAUGAAAAGGACGUUGGUGAAAAUUAAACGCUUCCGUGGCGAGAGCUAUUCCUAGAAGAGGCGCCGGAUAGUCCGGACAGAGCCGUUAUUCCCUGGACUUUAAAAGGUACAAUGGACAAGUCCUACAGACCAAGGGGAGAUUUGCCAAGAGUCGACUCGAACCGAAGAAUAAGAACUCAGCCUUUUUGUCGUCCUUUCUUCGACAAGCCUUUUCCAUUGGUUGACCCGUUUCGGUAUCUCCAGGACGACGCAGCCCACUUUGGCCACGCCGCUAUUAAUUGGAACAAGCUGAAGCUACGUGUCUCUAUUAUUUGCGAUACCCGUUUCACGUGAUCCCACGACACGGCAGACCACUUUGUUUCCUCUUCCGCCGUUCCUUCAACGUUCUCGAGGAAACAGUAUCGCCGCUGACACGAUUAAUCUACCAAUUACAAUGGAACAGCCAACCAAUUCGGAACGGCGCCGGCGCGGGCACGACCGCGGCAUUUGGUAAUCGCUUCCUCGUUACUCGCAAGAAAUCGGAUCACAAACAAAGCAGAGGAACAAUACACGUGCACAGAAUCUCCGUGUAUUGUCAAACUCAGUUAUCUCAAAAAGAAAAUGUCGGAAAACGUUUAGGUAACGCAGUGUAUGAACCAAAGUUACUCUCGAAAACACAUUUUCUCCAAGUUCUCGGACAAAUUCUCCGUUCAUUUCGACUUUAAUAGACGUUAAAUCUCUCGUGUCUCGGGACUUCAGGGAUGGAAACAAAGACGAAGGUAUCCGACAGAGACUUAGCCGCGAGCUACCUCGAGAACAUGCUCCGAGUAUCGGCGUUAUCUUGCCGAUCUGCUGAAUUAAUAGCGUCGAAGAUCUUAUCGAAAUUAACGCAACGAGCUCGCCAACUUCAAAGAUCCCGUUAAUGUUUUUGCUCUAGAACUCUCUUUCGAGAUUCUCGAUACCUUUAGCGACUCGAGAUCUCCAAGUGGAGAGUUUCGCGACCCCGUUUAAUUAAGAUCCGUAGGCACUGCGAGGCAUAGAGGAUAGAUACCCGUUAGUUGUAACGCAGGUAUACUGAAUUUUUAAAAACCCUACCGUACAGAGAAUAUAUUUUCAUAUUCUGAAUGACUGUUGCGCAAAAAAUAUUAUUGUACGACGCUUUUCACGCAAGUUUCUUCGCGUUCUCUAUUUAACAACGAGGUAAACGAAGGUGGACGUAACGAAGAAAUGCAGCGAGAAACGUAGAAGGCCAGAAAAAUGGAACAUGAUCCCCCAUGCAGAAGCAAAAGAAGACAAAGCGGAUAAAAAGCUCGCAUGAAUACGAAUGUAGGAACUGUUACGGAAAAAGCAGUGCGUUUGCGACCGUACGCCUCUCCGGAACAGAGCUUCUCAACUUGCGGUAGAGGAUUUGGAGUAUUUGCAACGUAUAUCGCUUUCUUGCGCGUUUAUCGACAAUCGAGCUACUAGAUUUAUCUUCGAAAAAGUUAUACAAAUAA
RNA transcript from Hylaeus anthracinus, 4908 nucleotides. It is a transcript of the gene named putative fatty acyl-CoA reductase CG5065, with no coding region annotated. The record is from RefSeq and is a predicted model, not a curated record. The transcript is spliced from 6 exons. NCBI's taxonomy places the organism in Eukaryota, Metazoa, Arthropoda, Insecta, Hymenoptera, Colletidae.